UAAGCUGCCUGGCACUCAGCACGCCGUGU
This 29-nucleotide non-coding RNA is filed under the name Rattus norvegicus (Norway rat). The record is from RNAcentral. Lineage: Eukaryota; Metazoa; Chordata; Mammalia; Rodentia; Muridae.